UACAGAGGUCUCAAGCGUUGUUCGGAUUCAUUGGGCGUAAAGGGUGCGUAGGCGGCGCGGUAAGUCGGGUGUGAAAGUCCAGGGCUCAACCCUGGGAUGCCGGUCGAUACUGCCGGACUAGAGUUCGGAAGAGGCGAGUGGAAUCCCCGGUGUAGCGGUGAAAUGCGCAGAUAUCGGGAGGAACACCUAUGGCGAAGGCAGCUCGCUGGGACGUUACUGACGCUGAGACGCGAAAGCGUGGGGAGCAAACAGG
RNAcentral lists this ribosomal RNA (253 nucleotides) under uncultured bacterium. RNAcentral's name for it is "partial 16S ribosomal RNA". It matches the Rfam family "Bacterial small subunit ribosomal RNA", at positions 524 to 776 of the family's 1533-position model. The record is from RNAcentral.